GUGAGGGCACAGCAUUCCACCCCUCUGGAGGAUGCAAAAACAAGACACCAUCUUGGAAGUGGAGAUCAGCCCUCACCAGACACCAAACCUGCCAGCAACUUGAUCUUGGACUUCCCAGCCUCCAGAACUAAAGUUUGCCAGCCCCUGCUUCAUUUGAAGGAAACUGAAGCUCAGACACAUUCAGUGACUCGCAAGUUAACUUUGGAGAGAAGAUUGCAUCCACUGUCUGCCUAGCACGUCCUGCUCUUGCAACGAAGAACACUUUUAACCUGCAUCAUCCUGUCAUCCCAGCUUGCAAAGGAACAGGCAGAAGUUUCUUCCAACCUGUUACCUGAGAAUUUCAAAAUCAUACCUCGUGUCUGCCAAACAAGACUGCCAGCUUCUCAAAGCAAGAACUAUACUGAGGAGAAUGUGACUUCCUGUUUGAAAUGGAGGAGGGCUUUGUCCCAACACAUGAUGAUCUUCACAGGCCGGCAUUCUGGUCUCUUCAUUACACAGGAGUGACGCCUGAAGCUGAAGCGAUUAACACAAUGUUACACAACCGAAAGCUGAGGCAAGGGGCCAAAGUGGAGCCAUGAUAAACAAAGGCUGACCAUAAGAAAGAUACCAGUACACCCCCAGGAAGCCAGCCGAUUCUCUGGUGAUGAGUGAUGCCGGGAACAGCAGACUGGACAUCUAUGGGCAUCUGAUGGCCACUUUAAAGCACUCAAAGAGAGGUAAUGAGUGAGUUCACGUGAGAACUGGUUGUUUAAAAGAGCACGGCACCUCCUCCUCUCUUGCUUCCUUUCUCACCAUGUGACGCACCAGCUCCCCUUCCACUUGCACAAUGUUUGGAAGCUCCUGGAAGCCCUCACCAGAAACAGAUGCUGAUGCCAUGCUUCUUGUACAGCCGUGGAAUCAUAAUCCAAAUAAACCUUUUUUCUUUAUAAAUUGCCCAGUUUCAAGUAUUCCUUUAUGGCAAUACAAACAGACCAAGACACCUAGUAUGCUUAGAGUUUUGCUUACC
Molecule: long non-coding RNA, 1006 nt
Organism: Symphalangus syndactylus (siamang)
Lineage: Eukaryota; Metazoa; Chordata; Mammalia; Primates; Hylobatidae
Source: RefSeq, a predicted model, not a curated record